GAUGAACGCUGGCGGCGUGCCUAAUACAUGCAAGUCGAGCGAACAGAUGAGGAGCUUGCUCCUCUGACGUUAGCGGCGGACGGGGGAGUAACACGUGGAUAACCUACCUAUAAGACUGGGAUAACUUCGGGAAACCGGAGCUAAUACCGGAUAAUAUAUUGCACCGCAUGGUUCAAUAGUGAAAGACGGUUUUGCUGUCACUUAUAGAUGGAUCCGCGCCGCAUUAGGUAGUUGGUAAGGUAACGGCUUACCAAGGGAACCAUGCGUAGCCGACCUGAGGGGGUGAUCGGACACACUGGAACUGAGACACGGUCCAGACACCUACGGGAGGCAGCAGUAGGGAAUCUUCCGCAAUGGGCGAAAGCCUGACGGAGCAACGCCGCGUGAGUGAUGAAGGUCUUCGGAUCGUAAAACUCUGUUAUUAGGGAAGAACAAAUGUGUAAGUAACUAUGCACGUCUUGACGGUACCUAAUCAGAAAGCCACGGCUAACUACGUG
RNAcentral lists this ribosomal RNA (497 nucleotides) under uncultured bacterium. RNAcentral describes it as "partial 16S ribosomal RNA". It matches the Rfam family "Bacterial small subunit ribosomal RNA", at positions 28 to 507 of the family's 1533-position model. The record is from RNAcentral.